GACGAACGCUGGCGGCGUGCCUAACACAUGCAAGUCGAGCGGAGAUGUACUGAAGAUUUAUCGGAUGUACAUCUUAGCGGCGGACGGGUGAGUAACGCGUGGGCAACCUGCCUUCCACUGGGGGAUAACACAGGGAAACCUGUGCUAAUACCGCAUGACAUCACAUAGGGCAUCCUGUGUGAUCAAAGGAGUGAUCCGGUGGAAGAUGGGCCCGCGUCCGAUUAGCUAGUUGGUGAGGUAACGGCUCACCAAGGCGACGAUCAGUAGCCGACCUGAGAGGGUGAUCGGCCACAUUGGAACUGAGACACGGUCCAAACUCCUACGGGGGGCAGCAGUGGGGAAUAUUGCACAAUGGGCGAAAGCCUGAUGCAGCAACGCCGCGUGAGCGAUGAAGGCCUUCGGUCGUAAAGCUCUGUCUCAAGGAAGAUAAUGACGGUACUUGAGGAGGAAGCCCGGCUAACUACGUGCCAGCAGCCGC
RNAcentral lists this ribosomal RNA (478 nucleotides) under uncultured bacterium. Its description in RNAcentral is "bacterial SSU rRNA". It matches the Rfam family "Bacterial small subunit ribosomal RNA", at positions 28 to 518 of the family's 1533-position model. The record is from RNAcentral.